GGCGGACGGGUGAGUAAUGCCUGGGAAAUUGCCCUGAUGUGGGGGAUAACCAUUGGAAACGAUGGCUAAUACCGCAUAACGUCUACGGACCNNNGAGGGGGACCUUCGGGCCUCUCGCUUCAGGAUAUGCCCAGGUGGGAUUANCUAGUUGGNGAGGUAAUGGCUCACCAAGGCGACGAUCCCUAGCUGGUCUGAGAGGAUGAUCANCCACACUGGAACUGANACACGGUCCAGACUCCUACGGGAGGCAGCNNNGGGGAAUAUUGCACAAUGGGCGCAAGCCUGAUGCANCCAUGCCGCGUGUAUGAAGAAGGCCUUCGGGUUGUAAAGUACUUUCAGUCGUGAGGAAGGCGUUGAAGUUAAUANCUUCAUCGUUUGACGUUAGCGACAGAANAAGCACCGGCUAACUCCGUGCCAGCAGCCGCGGUAAUACGGAGGGUGCGAGCGUUAAUCGGAAUUACUGGGGCGUANAGCGCAUGCNNGUGGNUUGNUAAGUCAGAUGUGAAAGCCCGGGGCUCNACCUCNGAACCGCAUUUGA
This 538-nucleotide ribosomal RNA is filed under the name Vibrio sp. MR07-42. RNAcentral's name for it is "partial 16S ribosomal RNA". It matches the Rfam family "Bacterial small subunit ribosomal RNA", at positions 97 to 630 of the family's 1533-position model. Lineage: Bacteria; Pseudomonadati; Pseudomonadota; Gammaproteobacteria; Vibrionales; Vibrionaceae. The record is from RNAcentral.